Molecule: non-coding RNA, 21 nt
Filed under: Caenorhabditis elegans
Lineage: Eukaryota; Metazoa; Nematoda; Chromadorea; Rhabditida; Rhabditidae
Source: RNAcentral
UAGUAUCUUUUUUCAAUAUUU